Molecule: ribosomal RNA, 154 nt
Filed under: Hyphodontia tropica
Lineage: Eukaryota; Fungi; Basidiomycota; Agaricomycetes; Hymenochaetales; Schizoporaceae
Also listed under: 1 other name
Description: 5.8S ribosomal RNA
Rfam family: 5.8S ribosomal RNA
About the family: 5.8S ribosomal RNA (5.8S rRNA) is a component of the large subunit of the eukaryotic ribosome. It is transcribed by RNA polymerase I as part of the 45S precursor that also contains 18S and 28S rRNA.
Source: RNAcentral
AACUUUCAACAACGGAUCUCUUGGCUCUCGCAUCGAUGAAGAACGCAGCGAAAUGCGAUAAGUAAUGUGAAUUGCAGAAUUCAGUGAAUCAUCGAAUCUUUGAACGCACCUUGCGCUCCUUGGUAUUCCGAGGAGCAUGCCUGUUUGAGUGUCG